RNAcentral lists this long non-coding RNA (1173 nucleotides) under Malus domestica (apple). RNAcentral's name for it is "long non-coding RNA (MDOM_LNC018558)". Lineage: Eukaryota; Viridiplantae; Streptophyta; Magnoliopsida; Rosales; Rosaceae. The record is from RNAcentral.
AUCACCCCUAGCCAAGAGGGGUUUAGCCACUCAUAUUUACAACAAAACGAAAGGAAAUGAAUUUAAAUAUUAUAAACAAAAGAAAGAAAACACCUAAACGCUCCAACGAUCCAAGUUGGACACCAAGCAUGUCCAAGCACUUUCCUUCCCUUCCUUUGCUACGGCACAAGGUGUUGGUGAGUGUUUGAAGGUUUGUUUGUAUGGAGGAAUGGCUGAAUGUGUUUAGGUUGGAUGGAGGUCACGGCAAGGAAAGGGAAAUGAAGGUGCAUGGAAUUGUGUUUUUGUUGUGGGAAUGUGUAGAAUGGUUAAGAAGAAAAGACUCUGCCUUGCGGCAGAAUGUGUCUUCCUCCCUUCUCCCUAAACUGUCCCCCUGAAUGUGUCUUUGGAUGGAUAUAUUUAUAGGCUAGGGAGAGGAUGUAGUGGGUGGUGGUAAUGAGUGGAUGUAGUGGUAGGUGAAUGUGUUGGGUGGUUGAAAUGAGUGGAUGUGUUGAGUGAAAUGAGUGGAUGUAGUGGUAGGUGAAUGGAUGUGUUGGGUGAAAUGAGUGGAUGUAGUAGUAGGUGAAUGGAUGUGUUGGGUGAAAUGAGUGGAUGUAGUGGUAGGUGAAUGUGUUGGGUGGUUGUAAUAAGUGGAUGUAGUGGUAGGUGAAUGUGUUGGGUGGUUGUAAUGAGUGGAUAUGUUGGGUGAAAUGAGUGGAUGUGUUGGGUGGUUGUAAUGAGUGGAUGUGUUGGGUGAAAUGAGUGUGCUAAAAUGGUUAUUUAUAAGGAGAGGAUGAUGCACAAACUUCAAAUUUCAUCCAUUCCUUUUGCUCCAAGCAUAUGUUAUCCAUUCCAUGACCAAAAAUGCUCCAAAAUGCACUUCUUUGCCACAUUAACCCUUUGGCCCUACAAACACACGAAAAUAGCUUAAAAUACUAAAAUAACUACGAACUAACAACAUAAAUGCCAACAAACAAGCUAACUAAGUCGCAUAAAUAUGCUCCUAUCACAAAGUUGGCAAGAAAGUGCAAUUUGGAUCAUUUUGAGGCAGUUUUGGGCAUCAAAUUGAUAGCUUAUAAAUGGAGCAAGAUGGAUGGACGAACUUGAAUUUCAAGAGGCUAGGAAUGUGCUGAAAAGAGUGAAGAAAUAAAUCCAAGACAAAGAAGAUAAGGAAUUUGCUCAAAAGAAGGAACACUA